AUGGAGACCGACUGUCAGGAGUUAGUGCAACUCUGGAAUUCUCGCCGCAAUUCACGUUCGAUUGUGGCCCCUAUCCUAGAUGAAAUAGGAGAGCUAGUUUUUGAUUUUUCGGUAUUUGAGGUUCAACGUGUAAACAGGGCAGCAAAUCUACUGGCGCAUCUCUGUGCAAAACGUGCAUGCACUCUCAAUGCGACCGAUUGCUGGCUCGAAAAGACUCCUAGCUUCUUGGUGACCAGCCUUUUGGCUGAUUGCCGGGAGAACACUUUUGUUGAAUAA
Molecule: ribosomal RNA, 276 nt
Filed under: Triticum aestivum (bread wheat)
Lineage: Eukaryota; Viridiplantae; Streptophyta; Magnoliopsida; Poales; Poaceae
Description: partial small subunit ribosomal RNA
Source: RNAcentral